AGAGUUUGAUCAUGGCUCAGGAUGAACGCUGGCGGCGUGCCUAACACAUGCAAGUCGAACGAAGCUUGACGGAUGAUUUCUUCGGAAUGAAACCAGAUAUGACUUAGUGGCGGACGGGUGAGUAACACGUGAGCAACCUGCCUUUCAGAGGGGGAUAACGGCUGGAAACGGUCGCUAAUACCGCAUGACGUGUUCGGAUGGCAUCAUCUGAACAUCAAAGAUUUAUCGCUGAAAGAUGGGCUCGCGUCUGAUUAGAUAGUUGGUGGGGUAACGGCCUACCAAGUCGACGAUCAGUAGCCGGACUGAGAGGUUGAACGGCCACAUUGGGACUGAGAUACGGCCCAGACUCCUACGGGAGGCAGCAGUGGGGAAUAUUGCACAAUGGGGGAAACCCUGAUGCAGCAACGCCGCGUGAAGGAUGACGGUUUUCGGAUUGUAAACUUCUUUUCUUAGUGACGAAGACAGUGACGGUAGCUAAGGAAUAAGCAUCGGCUAACUACGUGCCAGCAGCC
This 512-nucleotide ribosomal RNA is filed under the name uncultured bacterium. RNAcentral's name for it is "bacterial SSU rRNA". It matches the Rfam family "Bacterial small subunit ribosomal RNA", at positions 8 to 516 of the family's 1533-position model. The record is from RNAcentral.